This 268-nucleotide ribosomal RNA is filed under the name uncultured bacterium. Its description in RNAcentral is "partial 16S ribosomal RNA". It matches the Rfam family "Bacterial small subunit ribosomal RNA", at positions 32 to 280 of the family's 1533-position model. The record is from RNAcentral.
AAUCAACGCUGGCGGCGUGCCUCAGACAUGCAAGUCGAACGCGAAAGUCCCCUUCGGGGGACAAGUAGAGUGGCGCACGGGUGAGUAACACGUAGGUAAUCUACCUUCGGAUGGGGAAUAACAACCGGAAACGGUUGCUAAUACCGCAUAAUGCAGCGGCACCUAAUGGUGACAGUUGUUAAAGCGGGGGAUCGAAAGACCUCGCGUCUGAAGAGGAGCCUGCGGCGGAUUAGCAGUUGGUAAGGUAACGGCUUACCAAGGCGACGAU